Pelobates cultripes (western spadefoot toad) is the source of this 387-nucleotide non-coding RNA. NCBI's taxonomy places the organism in Eukaryota, Metazoa, Chordata, Amphibia, Anura, Pelobatidae. The record is from the annotation of a GenBank genome assembly.
CUAUUCGGCUGUUUACAGCGUUUGUAUGGUUUCCUGUUUGGCAGAUUGGUGUCUUUGGUAGCUGCCUGUGUAUCUGGAAGGGAAAUAUUCUCUAAACGGUGGUUUAACACUUUUAUGCCUGGGGGUGCCGUUACAAUGAGUAUAAAAUUGCAUAAAAGAAGGCCCUUUGGUGCCAAGUAAACAGAGUUCUAGUUCACCCUCAAUUUGGAGUGCCGUCUCUUAUUGGGGGAAUCUGCGACAAGGGAUUGCUAUGCUUGACAUACUCCCUUACUAAAUCACUACUAAGCUCUUGUAAGAGCUUGUUCCUGCCUUGCUCUCUGGAGGAGUCUACAGUGAUUAUGGUGUUGGCUGGAGUGCUUGGAGCCCUCAGGAAGCGCUAGGAGCAUC